This 76-nucleotide transfer RNA is filed under the name Syntrophomonadaceae bacterium. Its description in RNAcentral is "tRNA-Ala". It matches the Rfam family "tRNA". Rfam says of the family: Transfer RNA (tRNA) molecules are approximately 80 nucleotides in length. RNAcentral also lists the same sequence under 1 other name. The record is from RNAcentral. Lineage: Bacteria; Bacillati; Bacillota; Clostridia; Eubacteriales; Syntrophomonadaceae.
GGGGCCUUAGCUCAGCUGGGAGAGCGCCUGCCUUGCACGCAGGAGGUCAGCGGUUCGAUCCCGCUAGUCUCCACCA